Molecule: ribosomal RNA, 138 nt
Filed under: uncultured eukaryote
Lineage: Eukaryota
Description: partial 18S ribosomal RNA
Rfam family: Eukaryotic small subunit ribosomal RNA
Source: RNAcentral
UGGUGGAGUGAUUUGUCUGGUUAAUUCCGAUAACGAACGAGACCUUAACCUGCUAAAUAGUCAGGCCGGCUUUUGCUGGUCGCCGACUUCUUAGAGGGACUGUCUGUGUCUAACAGACGGAAGUUUGAGGCAAUAACA